RNAcentral lists this transfer RNA (70 nucleotides) under Silurus asotus (Amur catfish). RNAcentral describes it as "tRNA-His". It matches the Rfam family "tRNA". Rfam says of the family: Transfer RNA (tRNA) molecules are approximately 80 nucleotides in length. Their secondary structure includes four short double-helical elements and three loops (D, anti-codon, and T loops). Further hydrogen bonds mediate the characteristic L-shaped molecular structure. tRNAs have two regions of fundamental functional importance: the anti-codon, which is responsible for specific mRNA codon recognition, and the 3' end, to which the tRNAs corresponding amino acid is attached (by aminoacyl-tRNA synthetases). tRNAs cope with the degeneracy of the genetic code in two manners: having more than one tRNA (with a specific anti-codon) for a particular amino acid; and 'wobble' base-pairing, i.e. permitting non-standard base-pairing at the 3rd anti-codon position. The record is from RNAcentral. Lineage: Eukaryota; Metazoa; Chordata; Actinopteri; Siluriformes; Siluridae.
GUAGAUAUAGUUUAACUUAAAACAUUAGAUUGUGAUUCUAAAAACAGAGGUUAAAUUCCUCUUAUCCACC